This is a long non-coding RNA of Dinoponera quadriceps, 455 nucleotides long. RefSeq lists it as uncharacterized. NCBI's taxonomy places the organism in Eukaryota, Metazoa, Arthropoda, Insecta, Hymenoptera, Formicidae. The record is from RefSeq and is a predicted model, not a curated record. The transcript is spliced from 2 exons.
CCUGGGUCUCCGGAGUCUGGCGAAACGAUCGAUGAAUCUGUUUGAGACGAUACUGUGAAUGAAAAAGAAAAUCUUUGAAAAGGUGUAUUAAAUCUGAUUAAAAUUAUGAGUGAACAUAAUUAUUAUCAAAAUAAUAAAUCAUCUCACAAUAGUGAAAAUGAUGAUGAGUUUCUUGACCAAAGAUGACUGACAUGGUUUUAUUAACUCUUAUAAAACAAUACCCAUGUAUAUAUGAUCCAAACAAGUUAAAUCAAAAAAAAAUUAAUUUCAUAAAAUAAUGGACAUAUUAUUUAAAUAAUGAUAUCUUCAUAAAAUGUACCUUCAUGUAAUAUAUAAUGAAGUUAUUAUGAGUGUAUUUAUUUAUAUCUUCAUUGUUUUUCUGCAUUACAUACUGUAAAUUGUUGGAAGAUAGUAAUAUAUUAAAUAUAAAUAAAAAUCAUAUUAUUUAUUUUUAA